Molecule: ribosomal RNA, 826 nt
Filed under: Gelasinospora saitoi
Lineage: Eukaryota; Fungi; Ascomycota; Sordariomycetes; Sordariales; Sordariaceae
Description: eukaryotic LSU rRNA
Rfam family: Eukaryotic large subunit ribosomal RNA
Source: RNAcentral
AUUGCCCUAGUAACGGCGAGUGAAGCGGCAACAGCUCAAAUUUGAAAUCUGGCUUCGGCCCGAGUUGUAAUUUGUAGAGGAAGCUUUUGGUGAGGCACCUUCUGAGUCCCCUGGAACGGGGCGCCAUAGAGGGUGAGAGCCCCGUAUAGUCGGAUGCCGAUCCAAUGUAAAGCUCCUUCGACGAGUCGAGUAGUUUGGGAAUGCUGCUCAAAAUGGGAGGUAAAUUUCUUCUAAAGCUAAAUACCGGCCAGAGACCGAUAGCGCACAAGUAGAGUGAUCGAAAGAUGAAAAGCACUUUGAAAAGAGGGUUAAAUAGCACGUGAAAUUGUUGAAAGGGAAGCGUUUGUGACCAGACUUGCGCCGUUCCGAUCAUCCGGUGUUCUCACCGGUGCACUCGGGACGGCACAGGCCAGCAUCGGUUUUGGCGGGGGGACAAAGGCCCUGGGAACGUAGCUCCUCCGGGAGUGUUAUAGCCCAGGGCGUAAUGCCCUCGCCGGGACCGAGGUUCGCGCAUCUGCAAGGAUGCUGGCGUAAUGGUCAUCAACGACCCGUCUUGAAACACGGACCAAGGAGUCAAGGUUUUGCGCGAGUGUUUGGGUGUAAAACCCGCACGCGUAAUGAAAGUGAACGUAGGUGAGAGCUUCGGCGCAUCAUCGACCGAUCCUGAUGUAUUCGGAUGGAUUUGAGUAAGAGCGUUAAGCCUUGGACCCGAAAGAUGGUGAACUAUGCUUGGAUAGGGUGAAGCCAGAGGAAACUCUGGUGGAGGCUCGCAGCGGUUCUGACGUGCAAAUCGAUCGUCAAAUCUGAGCAUGGGGGCGAAAGACUA